GUAGGGGGCAAGCGUUGUCCGGAUUUACUGGGCGUAAAGCGCGCGUAGGCGGAAGCUCAAGUCUGGCCUGAAAGCCCCCGGCUCAACCGGGGAGUGGGGCUGGAAACUGGGUUUCUUGAGGGCGAUAGAGGAGUGUGGAAUUCCUGGUGUAGCGGUGAAAUGCGUAGAGAUCAGGAGGAACACCCGUGGCGAAGGCGGCACUCUGGGUCGGCCCUGACGCUGAGGCGCGAAAGCGUGGGGAGCGAACGGGAUUAGAUACCCCGGUAGUCCACGCCGUAAACGAUGGUCACUAGGUGUGUGCGGUAUCGACCCCGCACGUGCCGCAGCUAACGCAAUAAGUGACCCGCCUGGGGAGUACGGCCGCAAGGUUG
This 371-nucleotide ribosomal RNA is filed under the name uncultured bacterium. RNAcentral describes it as "bacterial SSU rRNA". It matches the Rfam family "Bacterial small subunit ribosomal RNA", at positions 527 to 896 of the family's 1533-position model. The record is from RNAcentral.